UUUUCCACCGGAGCUUGCUCCACCGGAAAAAGAGGAGUGGCGAACGGGUGAGUAACACGUGGGUAACCUGCCCAUCAGAAGGGGAUAACACUUGGAAACAGGUGCUAAUACCGUAUAACAAUCGAAACCGCAUGGUUUUGAUUUGAAAGGCGCUUUCGGGUGUCGCUGAUGGAUGGACCCGCGGUGCAUUAGCUAGUUGGUGAGGUAACGGCUCACCAAGGCCACGAUGCAUAGCCGACCUGAGAGGGUGAUCGGCCACAUUGGGACUGAGACACGGCCCAAACUCCUACGGGAGGCAGCAGUAGGGAAUCUUCGGCAAUGGACGAAAGUCUGACCGAGCAACGCCGCGUGAGUGAAGAAGGUUUUCGGAUCGUAAAACUCUGUUGUUAGAGAAGAACAAGGAUGAGAGUAACUGUUCAUCCCUUGACGGUAUCUAACCAGAAAGCCACGGCUAACUACGUGCCAGCAGCCGCGGUAAUACGUAGGUGGCAAGCGUUGUCCGGAUUUAUUGGGCGUAAAGCGAGCGCAGGCGGUUUCUUAAGUCUGAUGUGAAAGCCCCCGGCUCAACCGGGGAGGGUCAUUGGAAACUGGGAGACUUGAGUGCAGAAGAGGAGAGUGGAAUUCCAUGUG
This 630-nucleotide ribosomal RNA is filed under the name Enterococcus faecium. Its description in RNAcentral is "bacterial SSU rRNA". It matches the Rfam family "Bacterial small subunit ribosomal RNA", at positions 73 to 675 of the family's 1533-position model. The record is from RNAcentral. Lineage: Bacteria; Bacillati; Bacillota; Bacilli; Lactobacillales; Enterococcaceae.